UAUCUAUCGUUUAGAAAGUUUUUGUAUAUUGUAUCCUACGGUUCCCGAUCAAUUUCGUUCUCCAUCCUCGAUAAACCUCGAUUUCCGUCUCUGAUCAAUCUCUCUCCGAUCACACCGUUUCCGAUCGAUCUCGUUCCCUUCCACGAUCAACCUUUUUCUCCGUCUCCGAUCAACCUUUUUCUCCGUCUCCGAUCAACCUCGUCUUCCCUCUUCGAUUUACCUUGUUCUCCUCCAUCACAAAUCGAUCUUGUCUUGCACAUUCUUUGAUUGAUUUCAUCUACUUCCUCAUCCUCUCUUUAUCUGAUAGAUCUACCUUUUUCCUCAUCCCAAUCUUUGGUAAUGGCUGGAUGUGCUUCUUUGAAAAUGAAGAUAGAGGUACGCGUUCCGUUUUAUAUUUAAAGAUCUCACUUGACUAGUGUUGUUGCAUUUACUACUGUAAAUGAAGCUUCUAUAUAGAUAUUAGAAAGGCAUUGGUUUAGUUCAAAUAUAUGAUGACCUCUAUUAAAAAGGAUAUAAAUGAACUAUUAGAGUUUGGUGAUUUUUUCUACUAAUCACCUUAAACACUAUUGAGAGGAUGAAGUUUAAAUUGUAUAGUGUUAAAAUCUGAAAUAGAGUAUGAUCAAUGCGGUACCUACUUAGAGGAUGAAGUUUGAAUUGUUUUGUGUUAGAAUCUUAAAUAGAAGAUGAUGAACUUGGUUCCUACUUAGAGGAUGAAGUUUGAAUUGUUUAGUGUUAGGAUCUUAAAUAGAAGAUGAUCAAUGCGGUACCUACUGCUAUAUCAAAUUAGUAUGCAAGUUUAAAAUAUAAUCAAAUCAUACUAAACGACAUGUCAUCAGAGUUGUAAACUUAUAAUAGUAGUUCUAAUUAUAAUUUCCUUUUUUGAAUGUGUAUGCUAAUCAGUUUAGUUUUUUUUAGUGAAUAUCAGUUGAAUGCUUACUCUCACACAGCUCUCUACCACUUUACUUUUUUCCGCCGUUUCCUAUAAGUUGAGUUUUUGCAAAAUAAAGUAAAAACACUCUAGUCAGCAUGGAGGUUCUUGAAGUAGCUUUGUUAUUAUGUUUUGUUUAUUGAUAAAAUCUACGAAAUAAAGAUUCUAAUAAAAAUCAAGAUGGACAUCAUAUAAUAAGAUACAUAGUUAGUUAAUUGAAACUACUAUCUUUUCAAUUAUAAUUUGUUUCUUCAUAAACUCUGUUGUGAGUUAAUGAGUGAUUGUUUGAACAUCUCUACUGAGACUUUUUAUGUCUCUUGUUUCUGAAAAAUUUGCCUUUGUUCUUUGCUGCAUAUAAAGGCUGGGAGUUAGAUACAUCAUCAAUAACUUUAAUUGUUGGAUAUAUGAAAAAGAUUAUGAAGGUACAAUUUAGUCCAUUGCAUUAUAUAAAUGUAUUAGAGCAGGUCCUUAGUCUACAAUUGCACUUUAUCAUUUUUUUAAUAAUUUAUUCUAUUGUAUUAUCAAAUUAUUCCACUACAUUAUCAAAAUUUCAAAUUUAUGAUUGUUGUCAACUAGAAAUUAUAAAUAUUUGUUGCUCUGGUUAUACAGAACUAAGUAUUUUCCAUGGAAGAUCAAACAUGUUCCUGGUAAUAUUUGCAUACAUAUAUAUAAGCAAAUUCGUAAACGACCCAAAUUAUUGGUAACCUAAAAUUGUUUUACCAGGUAAAGCUGGUGGGUUGGCGCACACAGAUAAUCUAGUGCCUGUUGUACACGUUGGUCUCCUUGGAUUGCUUCUGUUCUAGAUAUUAUGAAGGAGAUUUUUUGUUUUUAGCCCGAGGCUUGUAAGUUGUGCGACUCGUCAAAUACCAGCCCUUUAUAUUCUGCUCUGGAUAUAUGGUUGCAUGAUUGCAAAUAUUGAUGGAGUAGCUACUACAUUUGCUGCAGGAGUAUAAAUGACAAGGUACACAUGACCUUUUUCUUCUUUUGGUACAUUUCAUUUUGAACUUUAGUUAAAUCAUUACUGAAUUUGAAAGUUUGUUAUCAGUAACUACUCAUCUUUGAAACAAAAGUUAUUUCAUGGGACUAGUGUACAUGAAAAAAAAGUAAGGAAAUGAACAAAAUGGCUACUUUAAGUGCAAAAGAAGUGGCUGAGUACAAGUAAGGCUUCACUUAAAGUAGUGGUAUGCAAAAAUAAUUAUAGAGCAUAUGAAGCUUGUGUAGAAAAGGAUGGGAAUGUGAUUUUAUGACUUAUGUUUCUUAUUAAAAGCUCGUUUGCAAAUUUCUUUUACGUAGAAGUGUUGCCCAUCAUUGUUCAUGCAGUGUUAGUAAAAUAUCUGAAACAUAUUUUUGUACCAGCUUCAAAGAUUUUUGUUUAAUAUAUCUAAUUUUGUCUAAUUUUGUUAUUGUGUCUUUUAAAUUCCUAUUGUUGUUUGUUAUGUAGCAGGUUUUAAAUGUUUUAUUAUACGAAGAAAUCAAGUUUGGAACCGUCUGAUAUUCGAUUUGAUGAGCACGCAUCGAAGGUUGCAUUUCCGCAUGGUAUGAUGAUACCACCUAAUUCUUUUAAUACAAUGUACCAUUCUCUUGCGUUUUGGGCUUUGAUGCUUCUGGUGUCGGUUAGCAGGAUGGCUUCUAAUGUUUUUAGAGGUUAUUGGCGACAUAGGCUUAUUUGAGAAGUUGGGGUUAUGUUGCCGUCUAUCCUCCUAUUGUCUAUAGGUAUGGCAGAGUUUAGGCUUAUCCCUUUUCGAAGAAAGAUCUUCACGUGAGUGUCGGUAUCCUCCUAUUGUCUAUAGGUAUGGCAGAGUUUAGGCUUAUCCCUUUUCGGAGAAAGAUCUUCACGUGAACGUCGGUCGUUUAAUCAAGUAUUUGGUUUUGUGGAUAUUAAAUAAGCAUAGAUUGUUUGAAUAUUUUUUGAGAUGGGAUAAAUAUAUAUAUAUAUAUAUAUAUAUAUAUAUAUAUAUAUAUAUAUAUAUAUGUUAGAAUUGAUUAAUAUUAUAGGUCUAAUAUAAAAUUGUUUUUUGGUUAUUUUAUUAAUAUGAAAUUGCUAGUAAGUAUUGUUUUAAAUAUUCUAGUAAUUAAGUAUAACUUUAAAUGAAAAAAUAUUAGUAAUAUUUUUAUAAUUUAUAGCUUAUUUGGUUUUUUAUUAGAAAACUGAAAUUUGUUUUUGCUUAUUUUAUAAAUAUGAAACUGCU
Vicia villosa (hairy vetch) is the source of this 3117-nucleotide long non-coding RNA. RefSeq lists it as uncharacterized. The record is from RefSeq and is a predicted model, not a curated record. Lineage: Eukaryota; Viridiplantae; Streptophyta; Magnoliopsida; Fabales; Fabaceae. The transcript is spliced from 3 exons.